UAGCCGAGUAGCUAAGUGCGGAAGAGAUAACCGCUGAAAGCAUCUAAGCGGGAAACUCGUCUCAAGAUGAGUCUUGCCGGGGCCUUGAGCCCCCUGAAGAGUCGUUCGAGACCAGGACGUUGAUAGGCCGGGUGUGGAAGCGCAGUAAUGCGUUGAGCUGACCGGUACUAAUUGCUCGUGAGGCUUGACCCU
RNAcentral lists this ribosomal RNA (192 nucleotides) under Rubrivivax sp. RNAcentral's name for it is "partial 23S ribosomal RNA". It matches the Rfam family "Bacterial large subunit ribosomal RNA", at positions 2738 to 2925 of the family's 2925-position model. The record is from RNAcentral. Lineage: Bacteria; Pseudomonadati; Pseudomonadota; Betaproteobacteria; Burkholderiales; Sphaerotilaceae.